UGGGCUUGGAUUAUGGUUGUCUGUCGGCGUAAUUGCCGGCUCAACUGAAAUACACGAGCAACCCUAUUUAAAUAAACGGUUUGACUUGGCGUAAUAAUUAUUUCGCUAAGGACGUUUUCUUAAAAUAUAAGAGGUGCUACUAAUUCGCUAUUAUAGCAUUUAAGCUUUAGACCUCAAAUCAGUCAGGACUACCCGCUGAACUUAAGCAUAUCAAUAAGCGGAGGAAAAGAAACUAACAAGGAUUCCCCUAGUAACGGCGAGUGAAGUGGGAAAAGCUCAACUUUGAAAUCUGGCACCUUCGGUGUCCGAGUUGUAGUCUCAAGAAGUGUUUUCUGUGCUGGUCCAUGUAUGAGUCUGUUGGAACACAGCGUCAUAGAGGGUGACAACCCCGUUCAUGACAUGGAUACCAGUGCUUUGUGAUACACUCUCGAAGAGUCGAGUUGUUUGGGAAUGCAGCUCAAAUUGGGUGGUAAAUUCCAUCUAAAGCUAAAUAUUGGCGAGAGACCGAUAGCAAACAAGUACCGUGAGGGAAAGAUGAAAAGCACUUUGGAAAGAGAGUUAACAGUACGUGAAAUUGUUGAAAGGGAAACGAUUGAAGUCAGACGUGCGUGAUGCGGUUCAGCACUGGUUCGCCAGUGUGUAUUCCGUAUCUUUGCAGGCCAACAUCAGUUUCGGUAGUCGGAUAAAGGUUAGUUGAAUGUGGCACCCUCGGGUGUGUUAUAGCUUCUGACUGAAUACGAUUUCUGGGACUGAGGAACGCAGCGCGCCGCAAGGCAAAGGUUCCGACCU
Molecule: ribosomal RNA, 789 nt
Filed under: Cystobasidium slooffiae
Lineage: Eukaryota; Fungi; Basidiomycota; Cystobasidiomycetes; Cystobasidiales; Cystobasidiaceae
Description: eukaryotic LSU rRNA
Rfam family: Eukaryotic large subunit ribosomal RNA (bases 169-789)
Source: RNAcentral